Molecule: microRNA precursor, 90 nt
Organism: Bos taurus (domestic cattle)
Lineage: Eukaryota; Metazoa; Chordata; Mammalia; Artiodactyla; Bovidae
Gene: bta-mir-505
Product: bta-mir-505
Source: Ensembl
AAAUUGAUGCACCCAGUGGGGGAGCCAGGAAGUAUUGAUGUUUCUACCAGUUUAGCGUCAACACUUGCUGGUUUCCUCUCUGGAGCGUCA